RNAcentral lists this non-coding RNA (24 nucleotides) under Arabidopsis thaliana (thale cress). The record is from RNAcentral. Lineage: Eukaryota; Viridiplantae; Streptophyta; Magnoliopsida; Brassicales; Brassicaceae.
UGUGACCCUAAUCUUCAACAUAGU